GAUGAACGCUGGCGGCGUGCCUAAUACAUGCAAGUCGAGCGAACAGACGAGGAGCUUGCUCCUCUGACGUUAGCGGCGGACGGGUGAGUAACACGUGGAUAACCUACCUAUAAGACUGGGAUAACUUCGGGAAACCGGAGCUAAUACCGGAUAAUAUAUUGAACCGCAUGGUUCAAUAGUGAAAGACGGUUUUGCUGUCACUUAUAGAUGGAUCCGCGCCGCAUUAGCUAGUUGGUAAGGUAACGGCUUACCAAGGCAACGAUGCGUAGCCGACCUGAGAGGGUGAUCGGCCACACUGGAACUGAGACACGGUCCAGACUCCUACGGGAGGCAGCAGUAGGGAAUCUUCCGCAAUGGGCGAAAGCUUGACGGAGCAACGCCGCGUGAGUGAUGAAGGUCUUCGGAUCGUAAAACUCUGUUAUAGGGGAAGAACAAAUGUGUAAGUAACUAUGCACGUCUUGACGGUACCUAAUCAGAAAGCCACGGCUAACUACGUG
Molecule: ribosomal RNA, 497 nt
Filed under: uncultured bacterium
Lineage: Bacteria
Description: partial 16S ribosomal RNA
Rfam family: Bacterial small subunit ribosomal RNA
Source: RNAcentral